Molecule: ribosomal RNA, 235 nt
Filed under: Lelliottia amnigena
Lineage: Bacteria; Pseudomonadati; Pseudomonadota; Gammaproteobacteria; Enterobacterales; Enterobacteriaceae
Description: partial 23S ribosomal RNA
Rfam family: Bacterial large subunit ribosomal RNA
Source: RNAcentral
AGUGGACGCAUCACUGGUGUUCGGGUUGUCAUGCCAAUGGCAUUGCCCGGUAGCUAAAUGCGGAAAAGAUAAGUGCUGAAAGCAUCUAAGCACGAAACUUGCCCCGAGAUGAGUUCUCCCUGACUCCCUGAGAGUCCUGAAGGAACGUUGAAGACUACGACGUUGAUAGGUCGGGUGUGUAAGCGUAGCGAUACGUUGAGCUAACCGAUACUAAUGAACCGUGAGGCUUAACCUU